CAUGCAGUCGAACGGUGACGAUGGGGGCUUGCUCUUGUCUGAUCAGUGGCGAACGGGUGAGUAACACGUGAGUAACCUGCCCCAGACUCUGGGAUAACCCCGGGAAACCGGAGCUAAUACCGGAUAUGACACCAACGGGCAUCCGUAUGGUGUGGAAAGUUUUUCGGUCUGGGAUGGACUCGCGGCCUAUCAGCUUGUUGGUGAGGUAGUGGCUCACCAAGGCGACGACGGGUAGCCGGCCUGAGAGGGCGACCGGCCACACUGGGACUGAGACACGGCCCAGACUCCUACGGGAGGCAGCAGUGGGGAAUAUUGCACAAUGGGCGGAAGCCUGAUGCAGCGACGCCGCGUGAGGGAUGACGGCCUUCGGGUUGUAAACCUCUUUCAGCAGGGAAGAAGCGCAAGUGACGGUACCUGCAGAAGAAGCACCGGCUAACUACGUGCCAGCAGCCGCGGUAAUACGUAGGGUGCGAGCGUUGUCCGGAAUUAUUGGGCGUAAAGAGCUUGUAGGUGGUUUGUCGCGUCUGCUGUGAAAAUCCGAGGCUCAACCUCGGACUUGCAGUGGGUACGGGCAGACUAGAGUGUGGUAGGGGAGACUGGAAUUCCUGGUGUAGCGGUGGAAUGCGCAGAUAUCAGGAGGAACACCGAUGGCGAAGGCAGGUCUCUGGGCCAUUACUGA
RNAcentral lists this ribosomal RNA (679 nucleotides) under Terrabacter carboxydivorans. RNAcentral's name for it is "bacterial SSU rRNA". It matches the Rfam family "Bacterial small subunit ribosomal RNA", at positions 54 to 743 of the family's 1533-position model. The record is from RNAcentral. Lineage: Bacteria; Bacillati; Actinomycetota; Actinomycetes; Micrococcales; Intrasporangiaceae.